UACGUAGGGGGCGAGCGUUAUCCGGAGUUACUGGGCGUAAAGCGCACGCAGGCGGUCAGAUUAGUCUGUCGUGACAGUCGUCGGCUUAACUGACGAAGUACGGUGGAAACUGUCUGACUUGAGGGCUUCAGAGGGACACGGAAUUCCGGGUGGAGUGGUGAAAUGCGUAGAUAUCCGGAGGAACACCGAUGGCGAAGGCAGUGUCCUGGGAAGUACCUGACGCUCAGGUGCGAAAGCUAGGGGAGCGAACAGG
This 253-nucleotide ribosomal RNA is filed under the name uncultured bacterium. Its description in RNAcentral is "partial 16S ribosomal RNA". It matches the Rfam family "Bacterial small subunit ribosomal RNA", at positions 524 to 776 of the family's 1533-position model. The record is from RNAcentral.